UUUUUCAUCUCAUUUCAUCUCAAUUCAUCUCAUCAUUUCAUCUCCUCAUCUCAUCAUUUCCUCCUUUCAUUACAACAUUUCAUCUCAAUUCAUCUCAUCAUUUCAUCUCCUCAUCUCAUCAUUUCCUCCUUUCAUUACAACAUUUCAUCUCAUUUCUUCUCAUCUCAUUUCAAUUUCAUUAUUUCAUCUCAUUUCAUUAUUUCACCUAAUUUCAUUAUUUCAUCUCAUCUCAUCUCAGUUCAUCUGAUCUCAUUUCAUCUCAGCAUUUCAUC
Molecule: long non-coding RNA, 272 nt
Filed under: Homo sapiens (human)
Lineage: Eukaryota; Metazoa; Chordata; Mammalia; Primates; Hominidae
Description: HSALNT0295269
Source: RNAcentral